RNAcentral lists this long non-coding RNA (221 nucleotides) under Elaeis guineensis (African oil palm). RNAcentral describes it as "long non-coding RNA (EGUI_LNC046606)". Lineage: Eukaryota; Viridiplantae; Streptophyta; Magnoliopsida; Arecales; Arecaceae. The record is from RNAcentral.
CCAUGGUGACUUGCAAGCAACUCACUGUACUUUAGUAUCGGACUAUUUGAAUUUAUAAUUCAAUGAUGAAAAGUUUUUGGGUGUAGUCAAGUACUUGUUAAGUUGGUGCAUAAGUCAAGAUGGAAUUGACCCCUCUGGAUUAGUAGGAGUUAUGUAUCAAUGUAUUUCAAUUUAGCAAAACCUGGGCUUGGGUAAUCCAUGUGAUGGAUUUGAAAGAUUGA